This 253-nucleotide ribosomal RNA is filed under the name uncultured bacterium. Its description in RNAcentral is "partial 16S ribosomal RNA". It matches the Rfam family "Bacterial small subunit ribosomal RNA", at positions 524 to 776 of the family's 1533-position model. The record is from RNAcentral.
UACAGAGGGUGCGAGCGUUGUCCGGAAUCACUGGGCGUAAAGGGCGCGUAGGUGGCCUGAUAAGUAGGGGGUGAAAUCUCGCGGCUCAACUGCGAGGCUGCCUCCUAAACUGUCGGGCUCGAGCAGAGUAGAGGCAGGUGGAAUUCCCGGUGUAGCGGUGGAAUGCGUAGAGAUCGGGAAGAACAUCGGUGGCGAAGGCGGCCUGCUGGGCUCUUGCUGACACUGAGGCGCGACAGCGUGGGGAGCAAACAGG